RNAcentral lists this ribosomal RNA (253 nucleotides) under uncultured bacterium. RNAcentral describes it as "partial 16S ribosomal RNA". It matches the Rfam family "Bacterial small subunit ribosomal RNA", at positions 524 to 776 of the family's 1533-position model. The record is from RNAcentral.
UACAGAGGGCGCGAGUGUUAAUCGGAAUUACUGGGCGUAAAGCGUGCGUAGACGGUCGUGCAAGUCGGGUGUGAAAGCCCCAGGCUCAACCUGGGAAUUGCAUUCGAGACUGCUCGGCUAGGGUGCGGAAGAGGGAAGCGGAAUUUCCGGUGUAGCGGUGAAAUGCGUAGAUAUCGGAAGGAACACCAGUGGCGAAAGCGGCUUCCUGGUCCGACGCCGCCGUUCAGGCACGAAAGCGUGGGGAGCAAACAGG